Molecule: ribosomal RNA, 492 nt
Filed under: uncultured bacterium
Lineage: Bacteria
Description: partial 16S ribosomal RNA
Rfam family: Bacterial small subunit ribosomal RNA
Source: RNAcentral
AGUGAACGCUGGCGGUAGGCCUAACACAUGCAAGUCGAACGGCAGCACAGUAAGAGCUUGCUCUUACGGGUGGCGAGUGGCGGACGGGUGAGGAAUACAUCGGAAUCUACUUUUUCGUGGGGGAUAACGUAGGGAAACUUACGCUAAUACAGCAUACGACCUACGGGUGAAAGCAGGGGAUCUUCGGACCUUGCGCGAUUGAAUGAGCGGAUGUCGGAUUAGCUAGUUGGGGGGGUAAAGGCCCACCAAGUCGACGAUCCGUAGCUGGUCUGAGUGGAUGAUCGGCCACACUGGAACUGAGACACGCUCCAGACUCCUACGGGAGGCAGCAGUGUGGAAUAUUGGACAAUGGGCGCAAGCCUGACCCAGCCAUACCGCGUGGGUGAAGAAGGCCUUCGGGUUGUAAAGCCCUUUUGUUGGGAAAGAAAAGCAGCAGGUUAAUACCCCGCUGUUCUGACGGUACCCAAAGAAUAAGCACCGGCUAACUUCGUG